CAAGACGUAGCUUCAACCAAAGCAUUCAGCUUACACCUGAAAGAUACCUGACAACACCAGGUCGUCUUGA
RNAcentral lists this transfer RNA (70 nucleotides) under Petroica boodang (scarlet robin). RNAcentral describes it as "tRNA-Val". The record is from RNAcentral. Lineage: Eukaryota; Metazoa; Chordata; Aves; Passeriformes; Petroicidae.